CAUGCUCGUCGCACGCGCUUUCGUUGCAUGAAUUACAGGUGCUUGCACCGAAGAUGAUUUUAGCUAUAAAGUGAGUGGCGAACGGGUGAGUAACACGUGGGUAACCUGCCCAGAAGUGGGGGAUAACACCUGGAAACAGAUGCUAAUACCGCAUAACAAAGUAAACCGCAUGGUUUACUUUUAAAAGAUGGCUUCGGCUAUCACUUCUGGAUGGACCCGCGGCGUAUUAGCUAGUUGGUGAGAUAAAGGCUCACCAAGGCAGUGAUACGUAGCCGACCUGAGAGGGUAAUCGGCCACAUUGGGACUGAGACACGGCCCAGACUCCUACGGGAGGCAGCAGUAGGGAAUCUUCCACAAUGGACGAAAGUCUGAUGGAGCAACGCCGCGUGAGUGAUGAAGGCUUUAGGGUCGUAAAACUCUGUUGUUGGAGAAGAACGUGUGUGAGAGUAACUGCUCAUGCAGUGACGGUAUCCAACCAGAAAGCCACGGCUAACUACGUGCCAGCAGCCGCGGUAAUACGUAGGUGGCAAGCGUUAUCCGGAUUUAUUGGGCGUAAAGCGAGCGCAGGCGGUCUUUUAAGUCUAAUGUGAAAGCCUUCGGCUUAACCGAAGAAGUGCAUUGGAAACUGGAAGACUUGAGUGCAGAAGAGGACAGUGGAACUCCAUGUGUAGCGGUGAAAUGCGUAGAUAUAUGGAAGAACACCAGUGGCGAAGGCGGCUGUCUGGUCUGUAACUGACGCUGAGGCUCGAAAGCAUGGGUAGCGAACAGGAUUAGAUACCCUGGUAGUCCAUGCCGUAAACGAUGAAUGCUAAGUGUUGGAGGGUUUCCGCCCUUCAGUGCUGCAGCUAACGCAUUAAGCAUUCCGCCUGGGGAGUACGACCGC
RNAcentral lists this ribosomal RNA (883 nucleotides) under Pediococcus parvulus. RNAcentral's name for it is "bacterial SSU rRNA". It matches the Rfam family "Bacterial small subunit ribosomal RNA", at positions 54 to 889 of the family's 1533-position model. Lineage: Bacteria; Bacillati; Bacillota; Bacilli; Lactobacillales; Lactobacillaceae. The record is from RNAcentral.